UUGGAGGGCAAGUCUGGUGCCAGCAGCCGCGGUAAUUCCAGCUCCAAUAGCGUAUAUUAAAGUUGUUGCAGUUAAAAAGCUCGUAGUUGAAUUUCGGGAUCAAUUUAUUGGUCGUGCUAUUGUACGUACUGGUAUUAUUGAUUCCUACCUUCUGACGAACCAUGAUGUCAUUAAUUUGGUGUCUUGGGGAAUCAGGACUGUUACUUUGAAAAAAUUAGAGUGUUUAAAGCAGGCUCACGCUUGAAUACAUUAGCAUGGAAUAACGAAAUAGGACGUUUGAUUCUAUUUUGUUGGUUUCUAGGAUCGACGUAAUGAUUAAUAGGGAUAGUUGGGGGCAUUAGUAUUCAAUUGUCAGAGGUGAAAUUCUUGGAUUUAUUGAAGACUAACUACUGCGAAAGCAUUUGCCAAGGAUGUUUUCAUUAAUCAAGAACGAAAGUUAGGGGAUCGAAGACGAUCAGAUACCGUCGUAGUCUUAACCAUAAACUAUGCCGACUAGGGAUCGGAUGAUGUUAAUUUUUUAGUGACUCAUUCGGCGCCUUACGGGAAAC
Molecule: ribosomal RNA, 548 nt
Filed under: uncultured Glomeromycotina
Lineage: Eukaryota; Fungi; Glomeromycota
Description: SSU rRNA
Rfam family: Eukaryotic small subunit ribosomal RNA
Source: RNAcentral